GCCUGGUAGUGGGGGACAACGUUUCGAAAGGAACGCUAAUACCGCAUACGUCCUACGGGAGAAAGCAGGGGACCUUCGGGCCUUGCGCUAUCAGAUGAGCCUAGGUCGGAUUAGCUAGUUGGUGAGGUAAUGGCUCACCAAGGCGACGAUCCGUAACUGGUCUGAGAGGAUGAUCAGUCACACUGGAACUGAGACACGGUCCAGACUCCUACGGGAGGCAGCAGUGGGGAAUAUUGGACAAUGGGCGAAAGCCUGAUCCAGCCAUGCCGCGUGUGUGAAGAAGGUCUUCGGAUUGUAAAGCACUUUAAGUUGGGAGGAAGGGUUGUAGAUUAAUACUCUGCAAUUUUGACGUUACCGACAGAAUAAGCACCGGCUAACUCUGUGCCAGCAGCCGCGGUAAUACAGAGGGUGCAAGCGUUAAUCGGAAUUACUGGGCGUAAAGCGCGCGUAGGUGGUUUGUUAAGUUGGAUGUGAAAUCCCCGGG
This 484-nucleotide ribosomal RNA is filed under the name Pseudomonas sp. AFT2. RNAcentral describes it as "bacterial SSU rRNA". It matches the Rfam family "Bacterial small subunit ribosomal RNA", at positions 128 to 607 of the family's 1533-position model. Lineage: Bacteria; Pseudomonadati; Pseudomonadota; Gammaproteobacteria; Pseudomonadales; Pseudomonadaceae. The record is from RNAcentral.